This 72-nucleotide transfer RNA is filed under the name Sphaerodactylus townsendi. RNAcentral's name for it is "tRNA-Ala". It matches the Rfam family "tRNA". From Rfam's summary of the family: Transfer RNA (tRNA) molecules are approximately 80 nucleotides in length. Their secondary structure includes four short double-helical elements and three loops (D, anti-codon, and T loops). Lineage: Eukaryota; Metazoa; Chordata; Lepidosauria; Squamata; Sphaerodactylidae. The record is from RNAcentral.
GGAGUUGUGGUUAAGUUGCAGAGCAUCUGUUUGGCAUGCAAGAGAUCCUGGAUUCAAUUCCCAGCAUCUCCA